CCCACUUCCCGGUCUGGAGAGCCGAGGCGCGCUCGGCCGCUCGGCGCUCGCCUGCUCGGGUCUGGCGGGCCCGGCAUCGCCGCCGGGAAGGGUCCGGGCUGGCGGGCCUGGCGGCUGGCGGCAUGGAGGGUCCGCGGGCCGCCGCGGGCGGGGACGUCUCCCUGCACAACUUCAGCGCGAGGCUGUGGGAGCAGCUGGUGCACUUCCACGUCAUGCGGCUGACGGACUCGCUCUUCCUGUGGGUGGGGGCCACGCCGCACCUGCGCAACCUGGCUGUGGCCAUGUGCAGCCGCUACGACUCCAUCCCUGUGUCCACCUCCCUCCUCGGAGACACUUCAGACACGACCUCCACUGGCCUUGCCCAGCGCUUAGGUACGUACCCAUGGCGGCUGCAGGAGCGGCCAGAUGGGGCCUCGCUGUGUGAUGGAAUCAUGAGGCGAGUCACUUUAGAACCAGGAAGACCAACAAGCAGGUGUUUGUCAGCUAUAACCUACAAAAUACAGACAAUAACUUCGCAUUACUUGUAGAAAACAGGAUCAAGGAAGAAAUGGAGGCAUUUCCGGAAAAGUUCUAGCUGAGGCGAAAUCUGUGGGCCAAAAGGCUGUCAUUGAUUAAGCUUUGGAAGAAGAAAAGCAAAAUGGGCAAUAGUUGCCUUGUGACUGCUCAUGAUGGAGAAAAGGGGUUCAGAUGGAAUUUUGUUGGGAAGGGGGCUAAAAAGACAAAAGGGUUAAAUUAGUUGUGACUCUGUUGUGUCCAUUCCCAGGUACAAUGGGAGAUGAUAAACUUCCCUGGCACGCCUCUCCGCUGUGCUCACCCUCGGGCCCGGGUCGGAGCCUCACUCCUCACGGCUCACUAGGCUUGUGGUCUUGGUGAAGGCUCACUCUCCUCUGGGCCCUGUUUCCUCACCUACAAAAUGGGAAUGUUCUCCACUCUGCUGGGUUAGGGUCAGGAUUAACUGCACAGAAAUACUUGGCAAACUAUAAGUGCAGUGGCAAUGAAGAUGUCAGUUAUGGCUUUAUCUAUAUGUGGAUCCAAAUGCUUGCCCUCCUGUUAACCAUUGCCCCCCCCCCCCCCCCCCCCCCAAGUCCCAAGUCCCAAGCACCUGUUUUGGUCAUCUUUAAUCCUUAGCUUUUUCUGCCUACCACUUGAAGUAGAUUCUAAUCUUUUUAGUACUGAAAGGAGUUUUUAGGGGUAAAAUAGACAAGUUUAGGGAGUUUAGGAAAUAGGGGGUCCAUGUGGGAGAAAGACAGUUGUUUGUGGGCUUGGAGCUGCCAAAAGGCAUUUAUUCACGGAGAAUGAAAGGUGCCACGGGAUAAGGGGGAAGGAAGACGUCCAUUCACAGAAGAUAGGGAGAAAGGAAACAAACUUCACAGAGGAUAGAGAAUUGCUGACAAAUGGGAGAGAAUAGAUUUUCACAGGAGAUAGAGAAUUCUAUCUGACGGAGAAAAAGAGGGUGACCCAUGUGGGUUUUGAGCUUUGAAGCUGAUAUAGUGACCAGUUGGAAGGCAGCAACAAGAAAGUACUGCAGCCUUUACAAUCCUUAGGAAAAAGGAGCUUGGUGGGCUACCCCUUUGGGAACCCCUCCCUAUGUGGGAGUUUGUACUUGUUUCCAAUAAAUUUCCACCUUUUCAUAUA
Pipistrellus kuhlii (Kuhl's pipistrelle) is the source of this 1635-nucleotide RNA transcript. It is a transcript of the gene named proteasome assembly chaperone 4, with no coding region annotated. NCBI's taxonomy places the organism in Eukaryota, Metazoa, Chordata, Mammalia, Chiroptera, Vespertilionidae. The record is from RefSeq and is a predicted model, not a curated record. The transcript has 4 exons.